RNAcentral lists this ribosomal RNA (568 nucleotides) under Thielavia sp. 1 YHY-2018. RNAcentral's name for it is "partial large subunit ribosomal RNA". It matches the Rfam family "Eukaryotic large subunit ribosomal RNA", at positions 57 to 652 of the family's 3401-position model. Lineage: Eukaryota; Fungi; Ascomycota; Sordariomycetes; Coronophorales; Ceratostomataceae. The record is from RNAcentral.
AAAAGAAACCAACAGGGAUUGCCCCAGUAACGGCGAGUGAAGCGGCAACAGCUCAAAUUUGAAAUCUGGCCUCGGCCCGAGUUGUAAUUUGCAGAGGAAGCUUUAGGCGCGGCACCUCCUGAGUCCCCUGGAACGGGGCGCCACAGAGGGUGAGAGCCCCGUAUAGUUGGAUGCCCAGCCUGUGUAAAGCUCCUUCGACGAGUCGAGUAGUUUGGGAAUGCUGCUCAAAAUGGGAGGUAAAUUUCUUCUAAAGCUAAAUACCGGCCAGAGACCGAUAGCGCACAAGUAGAGUGAUCGAAAGAUGAAAAGCACUUUGAAAAGAGGGUUAAAUAGCACGUGAAAUUGUUGAAAGGGAAGCGCUUGUGACCAGACUUGCGCCGGGCUGAUCAUCCGGUGUUCUCACCGGUGCACUCGGCCCGGCGCGGGCCAGCAUCGGCUCCCGCGGGGGGACAAAGGCCCCGGGAAUGUAGCUCCCCAGGGAGUGUUAUAGCCCGGGGCGCAAUGCCCCCGCGGGGACCGAGGUACGCGCUCCGCAAGGAUGCUGGCGUAAUGGUCACCAGCGACCCGU